CUUUUCUAGGAAUAGUUUGUUAAGAUAGAUUUGGGUUAAUUACACAAUUGGUCCCCAACCUUUGCAGUGUUUUCAAUUUGGUCCCGAACCUUUUAUUUUUUGCAAUCGAGUCCCUAACCUCUUAAUUUUACUACAAUAAAGCCCCCGUUAAAAAAGGUGAUAAAUUAAUAGAAUCGCCACUUCAGCGCCACGGAGGUGCCAUGUCAGCACCAGUGAAUUAUAUAAUUUAAAUUUAAAUUUUAUAUUAUAAAUUUAAAUUUAAAUUUAAAUUAUAUUUUGAAUUAAAUUAUAAAUUCAAAGAAAUAUUUUAAUUUAAAAUAUAAAAUUUAAAUUUAAAUUUAAAUUUUGAUUUUGGAUUCAAAUUCAAAUUCCAAUUUUAUAUUUAAUUUUAAAUUAAAAUUCACAUUUUGAAUUCUAAUUCUAAUUUAAUUUCAACUUUGAUUUGGAACUUCAAAUUCAAAUGUGAAUUUGAAUUUGAAGUUUAAAUUCAAAUUUAGAAUUGGAAUCAAUUUCAAUUCAAAUUUAAAAUUUGAAUUCAGAUUAAAAUUUUAAAAUCAAAAUUUUGAAUAUAAUUUUAAAUUUAAAUUUAGAUUUUAAAUUUAAAUUUUAGUUUCAAAAUUUUCAUUUUAAAUGGAAAUUGAAAUAUCAAAAUCAAAAUCAAAAUCAAAAUUUUAAGUUUGAUUUCAAAAUUAAAAUUCAACUUAAAAUUCAAAUUUAAAAUUUGAAUUUCAAUUCAAAUUUUAAUAAAGCUUUAAAUCAAAAUUAUAGCUUUAAAUCAAAAUUAUAGCUUUAAAUUCAAAUUCAAAAAUUUUAAUAUCUCAUUAGUUUUUAAUUUUAAAUCAAAAUUAUAGCUUUAAAUUCAAAUUCAAAAAUUUUAAUUUCUCAAUAGUUUUUAAUUUUAAUUUUAAUAAAGCUAUAUAUCAAAAUUAUAGAUUUAAUAAAGCUUUACAUCAAAAUUAAUGCUUUAAAUUCAAAUUCAAAAUUUUUUAUUUCUCAUUAGUUUUAAAUUUUAAUUUUAAUAUUAAUUUCAAAUUUCAAAUUUUUAUUUUUUGGAAACUAAAGUGAAAAAGGUGCAAAGUUUGGGAACCAAAAUUGAUGUGCAAAAAGAAGCCAAGUAGGCGCUGACGUGGCGAUUCCGUUAAUUUUAACACUCUUUUUCAGGAUUGGGACUUUAUUGUAAUGAAAUCAAGAAGUUAGUUACUCGAUUGCAAAAAAAAAGGUUGGGGACUAAAUUGAAAAAUAACGCAAAGGUUGGGGACCAAUAAUGUCACAUUCGGGCCCCAGCAGAAGCCUACCCGACAGUGCACAUACCCGCCCGCCGUGUGCACAAGGUGCUCCCGGUGCACACAAGGCGUCUACCACAAAACAAUCAAUUAAGGAAAAUAAGGAAAUUAUACUAGUAUGGUAAUCAAAGCAUAAGUACUAAGCUAUACAAUAAAUCAACAAGCACUAAUGGAAAUAACGAGUUACUACAAUAAAGAUACAUCUAUCACAAGAUAUACAUCAAGUGCCAACAAGAGAGUAUAUCACAUGAAUAUGGUAGUCUCUAUACAAAAUGAUCUAAUACACAUUUCGUGACUAAAACAAAAGAAAGGUGUCCACCUAGGCAACGACUCCCAAAAGGCUCACCGACCGUCCCUAGAGUAAGUGGCAAAGGGCUUGGUGGUUGGUACCCGAGACCCAAGUUCGAAUCCUAGUUGAUUCACAUUUCUAGCUAAGUUUAUUUCUAAAUGAAAUAAACGAAGCGGAUAGCGUGCUACCUAUUUCUCAAAAAAAAAAAAAAAAAAAAAUCCCAAAAGGCUCUAACUAGUCGCAACUCCCUUGCCGCGAUCUCUAACCUCUCCCGCAGUGGAAGGCUCUGAAAUAAAAACAACAAACAUAUGAGGGUGAAAACUAUUAAACAAUAUUUUCUAGUGGGUAAGCCGCCGAGAAAAGCGAAUUACACUACUAAGUCAACUGGGCAAAAGUAGAAAUAGUUACUAAUAAAGCAUGAAUAAAGUCAAGCAUUAAGGUUCAAAUACUACUAUACCUCCAAAUAACUAUAUUAUUUAACAUAUGUGAGAUUUACACUAUCACUUGUACAUGCAUACAAUGUCUAGUAAUUAUGUCCAAAUGUCAUGCACUAUUUAAUUGUGAUGUCCAACAAUAAAUGUAUUUACAAUUACCCAACCAUCGGGGACGUACACAAGGUAUAAUCCCGACUUGUGCUGUACCUAAUGGCCCCGUGGUAGUUAACACUUCCCUGCUAGAAAUAAGUCUCGCCCACGGCAAUUCACUUCGGCGCCCAAUCUCGUACGGGCAAGCAUGAUGUUGCAAAGGCUAACUCCAAAGUGCCGGCUUGUAGGGAGCAACCCUACAACUUCCUUCCCUUUAUGUUGAUAAACAAAUCCGUAAAGAAUUAUUUGAAAAAACAUUGCCAACUACAGGAGUUUCAUUAAGAUAAUCAAACUACUGUAAAACUAUAUACAAAUUUUUCCAGAUAAAAUGUUUAUUUAUUUUAUUCUAACUUUUAUAUAAAAUUUUAUUGUCAGCUCCACACAACCUGCUGAUGACAUCCAAGAAAUCCAACCUGCGAAAUGAUGUCGAUUUAUGUAAUGUCUAAUAACAAUUCAACAAGCUAUUCAUAUAUUUAAUAUAAUUUAUAUUUAAUUGUUUAAAUUUAUUUGUAG
RNAcentral lists this long non-coding RNA (2669 nucleotides) under Ananas comosus (pineapple). RNAcentral's name for it is "long non-coding RNA (ACOM_LNC009028)". Lineage: Eukaryota; Viridiplantae; Streptophyta; Magnoliopsida; Poales; Bromeliaceae. The record is from RNAcentral.